GCUCCAGACUCCUACGGGAGGCAGCAGUGGGGGAUAUUGCACAAUGGGCGCAAGCCUGAUGCAGCGACGCCGCGUGAGCGAAGAAGUAUUUCGGUAUGUAAAGCUCUAUCAGCAGGGAAGAAAAUGACGGUACCUGACUAAGAAGCUCCGGCUAAAUACGUGCCAGCAGCCGCGGUAAUACGUAUGGAGCAAGCGUUAUCCGGAAUUACUGGGUGUAAAGGGAGCGUAGACGGCAAUGCAAGCCAGAUGUGAAAGCCCGGGGCUCAACCCCGGGACUGCAUUUGGAACUGUGUAGCUGGAGUGUCGGAGAGGCAGGCGGAAUUCCUAGUGUAGCGGUGAAAUGCGUAGAUAUUAGGAGGAACACCAGUGGCGAAGGCGGCCUGCUGGACGACAACUGACGGUGAGGCGCGAAAGCGUGGGGAGCAAACAGGAUUAGAUACCCGUGUA
RNAcentral lists this ribosomal RNA (447 nucleotides) under uncultured bacterium. Its description in RNAcentral is "partial 16S ribosomal RNA". It matches the Rfam family "Bacterial small subunit ribosomal RNA", at positions 328 to 792 of the family's 1533-position model. The record is from RNAcentral.